GACGGGGGAUGCAAGUGUUAUCCGGAAUCACUGGGCGUAAAGCGUCUGCAGGUGGUUUCCUAAGUCCACUGUUAAACCUUGAGGCUCAACCUCAAAUCUGCAUUGGAAACUAGGAGACUUGAGUAUAGUAGGGGUAGAGGGAAUUUCCAGUGGAGCGGUGAAAUGCGUAGAUAUUGGGAAGAACACCGGUGGCGAAGGCGGCCCACUGGCUCGAUACUGACGCUGAGGUGCGAAAGCGUGGGGAGCAAACAGG
RNAcentral lists this ribosomal RNA (253 nucleotides) under uncultured bacterium. RNAcentral's name for it is "partial 16S ribosomal RNA". It matches the Rfam family "Bacterial small subunit ribosomal RNA", at positions 524 to 776 of the family's 1533-position model. The record is from RNAcentral.